Molecule: transfer RNA, 73 nt
Filed under: Aurantimonas sp. 22II-16-19i
Lineage: Bacteria; Pseudomonadati; Pseudomonadota; Alphaproteobacteria; Hyphomicrobiales; Aurantimonadaceae
Also listed under: 1 other name
Rfam family: tRNA
About the family: Transfer RNA (tRNA) molecules are approximately 80 nucleotides in length. Their secondary structure includes four short double-helical elements and three loops (D, anti-codon, and T loops).
Source: Rfam by way of RNAcentral
GGCCCCGUAGCUCAGUGGAUAGAGCACCGGCCUUCUAAGCCGAUGGUCGCAGGUUCGAAUCCUGCCGGGGUCA